RNAcentral lists this ribosomal RNA (774 nucleotides) under uncultured Vagococcus sp. Its description in RNAcentral is "bacterial SSU rRNA". It matches the Rfam family "Bacterial small subunit ribosomal RNA", at positions 719 to 1502 of the family's 1533-position model. Lineage: Bacteria; Bacillati; Bacillota; Bacilli; Lactobacillales; Enterococcaceae. The record is from RNAcentral.
AAGCGACUCUCUGUCUGUACUGACGCUGAGCUCGAAGCGUGGGGAGCAAACAGGAUUAGAUACUGGUAGUCCACGCGUAAACGAUGAGUGCUAAGUGUUAGGGGGUUUCCCCCCUUAGUGCUGCAGCUAACGCAUUAAGCACUCCGCUGGGGAGUACGACCGCAAGGUUGAAACUCAAAGGAAUUGACGGGGGCCCGCACAAGCGGUGGAGCAUGUGGUUUAAUUCGAAGCAACGCGAAGAACCUUACCAGGUCUUGACAUCCUUUGACAACUCUAGAGAUAGAGCUUUCCCUUCGGGGACAAAGUGACAGGUGGUGCAUGGUUGUCGUCAGCUCGUGUCGUGAGAUGUUGGGUUAAGUCCCGCAACGAGCGCAACCCUUAUUGUUAGUUGCCAUCAUUCAGUUGGGCACUCUAGCGAAACUGCCGGUGACAAACCGGAGGAAGGUGGGGAUGACGUCAAAUCAUCAUGCCCCUUAUGACCUGGGCUACACACGUGCUACAAUGGACAGUACAAUGAGCAGCGACACGGCGACGUGAAGCGAAUCUCAUAAAGCUGUUCUCAGUUCGGAUUGUAGGCUGCAACUCGCCUACAUGAAGCCGGAAUCGCUAGUAAUCGCGGAUCAGCACGCCGCGGUGAAUACGUUCCCGGGCCUUGUACACACCGCCCGUCACACCACGAAAGUUUGUAACACCCAAAGUCGGUGAGGUAACCUUCGGGAGCCAGCCGCCUAAGGUGGGAUAGAUGAUUGGGGUGAAGUCGUAACAAGGUAACCA